Molecule: long non-coding RNA, 661 nt
Organism: Gossypium raimondii (Peruvian cotton)
Lineage: Eukaryota; Viridiplantae; Streptophyta; Magnoliopsida; Malvales; Malvaceae
Exons: 3
Source: RefSeq, a predicted model, not a curated record
UUACGCUGCUGAGGGAUUCAAAGUAUCCAGUAAUAGCUUUGGUCAGCCUGUUGGAUCAGAAGCUCGCCUUUUAGCAGGAUACUUGGGCAUUCUAGCACGAAAUGCAAAUAUGUUGCCAAUUAACUUCGAGUCAUGGCAUAAAAUGCCCGAGAGUAACAAGAACCAAGCUCUCGAUAACAUUAAGGCGAGAUUUGCUCUAGAGGUCUCUGAUGCUUAUGUAAAGAAGGCAUUGGGAAAAAGAUGGAGAGACCAUAAGAGCACUUUAAAGAAAGACUAUUUUAAGACAAAAACAACACUCGACGAGAAAUUACAAAAUGUCCCGCCGGGAAUGCUGAGGUACCAGUGGGAAGAGGUCGUUAGAUUUUGGACUUCGAAGAAAUGAGAGGUAUGUGUUACUACAAAAAUCUUGUAAUUAUUUUGGUUUAUUGUAUUUACUAUUGACGUACUAAUAAUUUCAUAACGUAGGAUCGUGAACGAGUUGGAAAAAGUAGUAGGCAGAAACAAAAAUUCACUCACACAGCUGGGUCGAAAAGUUUUGCUUCUGUAGCUCAGGCCGAGGAACUAUCAUCUGGUCAAAAAGUUGGACGCCUUCAACUUUUUGACAUUACACAUAGGAAGAAAGAUGGAUCUCCUAUGACUCCUGAAGCUGCAGAAAUUACGG